This is a non-coding RNA of Ailuropoda melanoleuca (giant panda), 73 nucleotides long. The record is from Rfam. Lineage: Eukaryota; Metazoa; Chordata; Mammalia; Carnivora; Ursidae.
GCCUGACUGGCUCAGUUGGUAGAGCGUGUGACUCUUGAUCUUGGGGUUAUGAGUUCAAGCCCCAUGCUGGGUG